AACGAACGCUGGCGGCAUGCCUAACACAUGCAAGUCGAACGAGACCUUCGGGUCUAGUGGCGCACGGGUGCGUAACGCGUGGGAACCUGCCCUUAGGUUCGGAAUAACUCCCCGAAAGGGGUGCUAAUACCGGAUAAUGUCUUCGGACCAAAGAUUUAUCGCCUUUGGAUGGGCCCGCGUUGGAUUAGCUAGUUGGUAGGGUAAAAGCCUACCAAGGCGACGAUCCAUAGCUGGUCUGAGAGGAUGAUCAGCCACACUGGGACUGAGACACGGCCCAGACUCCCACGGGGGGCAGCAGGGGGGAAUAUUGGAAAGGGGGCGAAAGCCUGAACCAGCAAUGCCGGGGGAGUGAUGAAGGCCUUAGGGUUGUAAAGCUCUUUUACCCGGGAUGAUAAUGACAGUACCGGGAGAAUAAGCCCCGGCUAACUCCGU
RNAcentral lists this ribosomal RNA (432 nucleotides) under uncultured bacterium. RNAcentral's name for it is "partial 16S ribosomal RNA". It matches the Rfam family "Bacterial small subunit ribosomal RNA", at positions 29 to 506 of the family's 1533-position model. The record is from RNAcentral.